AGCAGUAGCCGCGGUAAUACGUAGGGUGCGAGCGUUAAUCGGAAUUACUGGGCGUAAAGCGUGCGCAGGCGGUUAUAUAAGUCAGAUGUGAAAUCCCCGGGCUCAACCCGGGAACUGCAUUUGAGACUGUAUGGCUAGAGUGUGUCAGAGGGGGGUAGAAUUCCACGUGUAGCAGUGAAAUGCGUAGAUAUGUGGAGGAAUACCGAUGGCGAAGGCAGCCCCCUGGGAUAACACUGACGCUCAUGCACGAAAGCGUGGGGAGCAAACAGGAUUAGAUACCCGUGUAGUCCCUGUCUCUUAUAC
RNAcentral lists this ribosomal RNA (303 nucleotides) under uncultured bacterium. Its description in RNAcentral is "partial 16S ribosomal RNA". It matches the Rfam family "Bacterial small subunit ribosomal RNA", at positions 507 to 807 of the family's 1533-position model. The record is from RNAcentral.